This 442-nucleotide ribosomal RNA is filed under the name uncultured bacterium. RNAcentral's name for it is "partial 16S ribosomal RNA". It matches the Rfam family "Bacterial small subunit ribosomal RNA", at positions 338 to 795 of the family's 1533-position model. The record is from RNAcentral.
CCUACGGGAGGCAGCAGUGGGGAAUAUUGGGCAAUGGGCGCAAGCCUGACCCAGCAAUGCCGCGUGAAGGAAGAAGGCUUUCGGGUUGUAAACUUCUUUGACAGGGGAAGAGCAGAAGACGGUACCCUGAAAACAAGCCACGGCUAACUACGUGCCAGCAGCCUCGGUCAUACGUAGGUGGCACGCGUGGUCCGGAUUUACUUGGUUUAAAGGGCGUGUAGCCGGGAAGGCAAGUCAGAUGUGAAAUCUGGAGGCUCAACCUCCAAAUUGCAUUUGAAACUGUUUUUCUUGAGGACUAGAGAGGCAGACGGAAUGCGUGGGGGAGCGGGGAAAUGCGGAGAUAUAAGGAAGAACACCGGGGGCGAAGGCGGUAUGCUGGACAGCAACUGACGGGGAGGCGCGAAAGCGGGGGGAGCAAACAGGAUUAGAUACCCGAGGAGUC